RNAcentral lists this small nuclear RNA (22 nucleotides) under Arabidopsis thaliana (thale cress). RNAcentral's name for it is "snRNA_19288". Lineage: Eukaryota; Viridiplantae; Streptophyta; Magnoliopsida; Brassicales; Brassicaceae. The record is from RNAcentral.
GACUACUAAUGGAAAUGGUCUU